Molecule: ribosomal RNA, 301 nt
Filed under: uncultured bacterium
Lineage: Bacteria
Description: partial 16S ribosomal RNA
Rfam family: Bacterial small subunit ribosomal RNA
Source: RNAcentral
CAGCCGCCGCGGUAAUACGUAGGGUGCAAGCGUUAAUCGGAAUUACUGGGCGUAAAGCGUGCGCAGGCGGUUAUAUAAGACAGAUGUGAAAUCCCCGGGCUCAACCUGGGAACUGCAUUUGUGACUGUAUAGCUAGAGUACGGCAGAGGGGGAUGGAAUUCCGCGUGUAGCAGUGAAAUGCGUAGAUAUGCGGAGGAACACCGAUGGCGAAGGCAAUCCCCUGGGCCUGUACUGACGCUUAUGCACGAAAGCGUGGGGAGCAAACAGGAUUAGAUACCCCAGUAGUCCCUGUCUCUUAUAC